GUCGAGAAUAAUUCACAAUGGACGAAAGUCUGAUGGUGCAACGCCGCGUGGAGGAUGAAGGUCUUCGGAUUGUAAACUCCUGUCAUCGGGGAGUAAGACCUGGCGGUAAAUAGCCGACAGGGUUGAUAGUACCCGAAGAGGAAGGGACGGCUAACUUCGUGCCAGCAGCCGCGGUAAUACGAAGGUCCCAAGCGUUGUUCGGAAUCACUGGGCGUAAAGGGAGCGUAGGCGGCGGGGUAAGUCAGAUGUGAAAUCCCGGGGCUCAACCCCGGAACUGCAUCCGUUACUGCCAUGCUUGAGGGUUGGAGAAGUAGCUGGAAUUCUCGGUGUAGCAGUGAAAUGCGUGGAUAUCGAGAGGAACACUCGUGGCGAAGGCGAGCUACUGGACAACAUCUGACGCUGAGGCUCGAAGGCCAGGGGAGCAAAAGGGAUUAGAAACCCGUGUAGUCC
This 450-nucleotide ribosomal RNA is filed under the name uncultured bacterium. Its description in RNAcentral is "partial 16S ribosomal RNA". It matches the Rfam family "Bacterial small subunit ribosomal RNA", at positions 354 to 796 of the family's 1533-position model. The record is from RNAcentral.